GAAGCUGGUCAGGCAAUCGCUGUGUUGUUCGCAAUACAGAGGAAAGUCCGGGCUCCGCAGAGCAGAGCGCCAGGUAACGCCUGGAAGGUGAAAGCCUAUGGAAAGUGCAGCAGAAAAUAUACCGCCUACGUACGACUUGUCGUGCCGGUAAGGUUGAAAUGGUGUGGUAAGAGCACACCGCGCAGCAGGUAACUGCUUGUGGCAUGGUAAACCCCGCUCGGAGCAAGACCAAAUAGGGGGACAAUGGAG
RNAcentral lists this RNase P RNA (249 nucleotides) under Gammaproteobacteria bacterium. RNAcentral describes it as "partial RNase P RNA component class A". It matches the Rfam family "Bacterial RNase P class A", at positions 1 to 248 of the family's 367-position model. Rfam says of the family: Ribonuclease P (RNase P) is a ubiquitous endoribonuclease, found in archaea, bacteria and eukarya as well as chloroplasts and mitochondria. Its best characterised activity is the generation of mature 5'-ends of tRNAs by cleaving the 5'-leader elements of precursor-tRNAs. The record is from RNAcentral. Lineage: Bacteria; Pseudomonadati; Pseudomonadota; Gammaproteobacteria.